AGGUGCACAACGCUACCAGGUGCACAACGCUACCAGGAGCAUAACGCUACCAGCAACACAACGCUACCAGGAGCACAACGCUACCAGGAGCACAACGCUACCAGGUGCACAACGCUACCAGGUGCACAACGCUACCAGGAGCACAACGCUACCAGGAACACAACCCUUUAUUUGUCUCUUAAUUUAUUAAUUAAGGCUUUUGAAAAGUUAAAUGAAAGGGCUAUUUCAGUGCCUGGAUCGAGGUGAAAAAAUAUAUUAAAUUGGAAGAAACUAUCGUGCAUAAUAUGAGAAUUUGUUUCCCAUUAAAUCAUAGUUUAAUCAUGAGGCAACACCCUCACUAAGCAUCCUCACUAAAUACAUUUGACAUUUAGCAGAAGCUCUUAUCCAGAGCGACCUACAGUGCAUUCAUCUUAAGAUAGCUAGGUAAGACAACCACAUAACACAGCAACUACACAACACAGCAACUACACAACACAGCAACUACACAACACAGCAACUACACAACACAGCAACUAUAUAACACAGCAACCACACAACACAGUCGAAGUACAUAACACAGCAACCACACAACACAGCAACUACACAACACAGCAACCACAUAACACAGCAACUACAUAACACAGCAACUACAUAACACAGCAACUAUAUAACACAGCAACUACAUAACACAGCAACUACAUAACACAGCAACUACAUAACACAGCAACUACACAACACAGUAACCACAUAACACAGCAACUAUAUAACACAGCAACUACAUAACACAGCAACUACAUAACACAGCAACCACAUAACACAGCAACCACAUAACACAGCAACCACAUAACACAGAAACCACAUAACACAGCAACUAUAUAACACAGCAACUACAUAACACAGCAACUACAUAACACAGCAACCACAUAACACAGCAACUAUAUAACACAGCAACUACAUAACACAGCAACUACAUAACACAGCAAAUACACAACCCAGUUACAACCCAAAUACACAACCCACAACCCACAACCCAGGGGAAGAUGGACAGGGACUGUUGUCAUAGCUUCAGGGGGGAAGAUGGACAGGGACCCUGUUGUCAUAGCUUCAGGGGGGAGAUGAACAGGGACUCUGUUGUCAUAGCAUCAGGG
Oncorhynchus tshawytscha (Chinook salmon) is the source of this 1127-nucleotide long non-coding RNA. NCBI's taxonomy places the organism in Eukaryota, Metazoa, Chordata, Actinopteri, Salmoniformes, Salmonidae. The record is from Ensembl.